This 497-nucleotide ribosomal RNA is filed under the name uncultured bacterium. RNAcentral describes it as "partial 16S ribosomal RNA". It matches the Rfam family "Bacterial small subunit ribosomal RNA", at positions 28 to 507 of the family's 1533-position model. The record is from RNAcentral.
GAUGAACGCUGGCGGCGUGCCUAAUACAUGCAAGUCGAGCGAACGGACGAGAAGCUUGCUUCUCUGAUGUUAGCGGCGGACGGGUGAGUAACACGUGGAUAACCUACCUAUAAGACUGGGAUAACUUCGGGAAACCGGAGCUAAUACCGGAUGAUAUUUUGAACCGCAUGGUUCAAAAGUGAAAGGCGGUCUUGCUGUCACUUAUAGAUGGAUCCGCGCUGCAUUAGCUAGUUGGUAAGGUAACGGCUUACCAAGGCAACGAUGCAUAGCCGACCUGAGAGGGUGAUCGGCCACACUGGAACUGAGACACGGUCCAGACUCCUACGGGAGGCAGCAGUAGGGAAUCUUCCGCAAUGGGCGAAAGCCUGACGGAGCAACGCCGCGUGAGUGAUGAAGGUCUUCGGAUCGUAAAACUCUGUUAUUAGGGAAGAACAUAUGUGUAAGUAACUGUGCACAUCUUGACGGCACCUAAUCAGAAAGCCACGGCUAACUACGUG